AUACUAACGGAUGCGAUCAUACCA
This 24-nucleotide non-coding RNA is filed under the name Arabidopsis thaliana (thale cress). The record is from RNAcentral. Lineage: Eukaryota; Viridiplantae; Streptophyta; Magnoliopsida; Brassicales; Brassicaceae.